This 303-nucleotide ribosomal RNA is filed under the name uncultured bacterium. RNAcentral's name for it is "partial 16S ribosomal RNA". It matches the Rfam family "Bacterial small subunit ribosomal RNA", at positions 507 to 808 of the family's 1533-position model. The record is from RNAcentral.
AGCAGUAGCCGCGGUAAUACGAAGGGGGCUAGCGUUGUUCGGAAUUACUGGGCGUAAAGCGCACGUAGGCGGACAUUUAAGUCAGGGGUGAAAUCCCGGGGCUCAACCCCGGAACUGCCUUUGAUACUGGGUGUCUAGAGUAUGGAAGAGGUGAGUGGAAUUCCGAGUGUAGAGGUGAAAUUCGUAGAUAUUCGGAGGAACACCAGUGGCGAAGGCGGCUCACUGGUCCAUUACUGACGCUGAGGUGCGAAAGCGUGGGGAGCAAACAGGAUUAGAUACCCCCGGUAGUCCCUGUCUCUUAUA